This 314-nucleotide long non-coding RNA is filed under the name Brassica napus (rape). Its description in RNAcentral is "long non-coding RNA (BNAP_LNC018536)". Lineage: Eukaryota; Viridiplantae; Streptophyta; Magnoliopsida; Brassicales; Brassicaceae. The record is from RNAcentral.
UCAUGAUAUUUUUUGGUUAAGAGUUUGGUAACAUAUGUUGGAGUAUUGUAUGUAUUCUAAGGGUUAGAUUUUGAAAGUUAACUUUUUUCUGAAAAAAUUAAAUUUUGACUUAUAUGUGUUUAGUUUUAUGUAUAUUAAACAUUUUUUAAGUUUAAUGAAGUGUUUGUUUCUAUUUAGUUAGUUAUUUGAGUUUAAGUUUUAUAUUUAGGGUCUAGACGACUUCCAGGAAGUCUUCUGGUGAAUAGUAUUUUAUCGGUAGAAGACUUCUCUUCUGGUGAAUAGUAUUUUAUCGGUAGAAGACUUCCCUGGAAGUC